ACGGGGGGAGCAAGCGUUGCUCGGAAUUACUGGGCGUAAAGCGUGUGUAGGCGGCCACGCAAGUCAGAUGUGAAAGCCCUGGGCUCAACCCAGGAAGUGCACCCGAUACUGCGACGGCUUGAGUACCGGAGAGGUUGGUGGAAUUCUCGGUGUAGAGGUGAAAUUCGUAGAUAUCGAGAGGAACACCGGUGGCGAAGGCGGCCAACUGGACGAGUACUGACGCUGAGACACGAAAGCGUGGGGAGCAAACAGGA
RNAcentral lists this ribosomal RNA (254 nucleotides) under uncultured prokaryote. RNAcentral describes it as "partial 16S ribosomal RNA". It matches the Rfam family "Bacterial small subunit ribosomal RNA", at positions 525 to 777 of the family's 1533-position model. The record is from RNAcentral.